Molecule: unclassified non-coding RNA, 403 nt
Filed under: soil metagenome
Description: partial contains 5.8S ribosomal RNA, internal transcribed spacer 2, and large subunit ribosomal RNA
Rfam family: 5.8S ribosomal RNA (bases 1-121)
Source: RNAcentral
GAUGAAGAACGUAGCGAAAUGCGAUAAGUAAUGUGAAUUGCAGAAUUCAGUGAAUCAUCGAAUCUUUGAACGCACCUUGCGCCCUUUGGCUAUUCCGAAGGGCAUGCCUGUUUGAGUAUCAUGAACACCUCAACUCUUCACGGCUUGCCGUGAUGAGUUUGGACUUUGGGGGUCUUGCUGGCCUACGAGCCAGCUCCUCUCAAAUGUAUUAGAUUGCCGGUGUUUGGUGGCAUCACAGGUGUGAUAACUAUCUACGCUUGUGGUUUUCCACUAGGUAACCUUCAGCAAUGGAGGUUCACCGGAGCUCACAAAUGUCUCUCCUUGCCAAGGACAGAUUUUGACCAUUUGAUCUCAAAUCAGGUAGGACUACCCGCUGAACUUAAGCAUAUCAAUAAGCGGAGGA